ACCAAGCACAUAGUUCUCCGUUGGUCCUAGUGAUAGAGAUGAGGGAUCUGGUUUUGAAAGUGGACUCUGAUGAUGAAGAGAUGUUUUUUCAUGGAAAGGACCCAGCUCAGGAUGAUCCCAAAUUCAUUAAGUCAGCUCCAACACAGCAUUCCGGCAGCCAGCCUGAUGAUGAACAGCCUAGUACAUCUUCAGCUGUCCAUGCUGUAAAACCAACUCCUUCUGCUCCAACUCCAGCUGCAGCCUCUAUGUCCACUCCAAGGAGAUCACCACGGAAAAAGAUUCAGAAAAGACCAUGUCUUUUA
Molecule: long non-coding RNA, 302 nt
Organism: Alosa sapidissima (American shad)
Lineage: Eukaryota; Metazoa; Chordata; Actinopteri; Clupeiformes; Clupeidae
Exons: 2
Source: RefSeq, a predicted model, not a curated record